Molecule: ribosomal RNA, 429 nt
Filed under: Chloroflexota bacterium
Lineage: Bacteria; Bacillati; Chloroflexota
Description: Chloroflexi bacterium partial 16S ribosomal RNA
Rfam family: Bacterial small subunit ribosomal RNA
Source: RNAcentral
UGGGGAAUUUUUCACAAUGGGCGCAAGCCUGAUGCAGCCAUGCCGCGUGUAUGAAGAAGGCCUUCGGGUUGUAAAGUACUUUCAGUCGGGAGGAAGGUGGUAAGGUUAAUAACCUUAUCAAUUGACGUUACCGACAGAAGAAGCACCGGCUAACUCCGUGCCAGCAGCCGCGGUAAUACGGAGGGUGCAAGCGUUAAUCGGAAUUACUGGGCGUAAAGCGCACGCAGGCGGUUUGUUAAGUCAGAUGUGAAAUCCCCGGGCUCAACCUGGGAACUGCAUCUGAUACUGGCAAGCUUGAGUCUCGUAGAGGGGGGUAGAAUUCCAGGUGUAGCGGUGAAAGGCGUAGAGAUCGGGAGGAAUACCGGUGGCGAAGGCGGCCCCCUGGACGAAGACUGACGCUCAGGUGCGAAAGCGUGGGGGGGAAACAGG